RNAcentral lists this ribosomal RNA (962 nucleotides) under Dignamoconcha dulcissima. Its description in RNAcentral is "partial 16S ribosomal RNA". Lineage: Eukaryota; Metazoa; Mollusca; Gastropoda; Stylommatophora; Helicarionidae. The record is from RNAcentral.
AAUUGAUAUAAGUAUUUUAAUUAUAAAUUUUAAGUAAUGAUAAUAAUAUAUUUGCUUAAAUAUAAGUUUAUAUACCUUUUGCAUAAUGGUUUAAUUAUAUAUUAACUUUUUAUUUAUUCCCGAAGUGAAAAGAUCUAAUAAUUAAUAUAUAUUAGGAAUUUAUAAGCUAUUAAUGUGGCAUUAUUAAAGUAUAAUUAAUUUUUAGAGAUGAAAAAUCUACAUUUUUUACGAUAUCUGGAUAAUUAAUAAAAGUAUUAAGUACUAAGUGUAAAUCAGGAUUUAAGUAUUAAGAUUUAAAUCCUUGAAAGAAAAUAAUAGUAUACAAAUUUUAUAAGAAGAGUAAUUUCUAACUUUUAAAUAAUACAUUUUAUUAAUUUAUAAUUAUUUCUUUUUUAUAUUAAUUUAUAUAAAUUUAUUAUUAGUUUAUAAAGAUAAUGUUAAAAUUAGUAGUAUAAAUUAACUUUUAAAAAGAAACUCGACAAAUAUAAUUUUCAACUGUUUAACAAANCAUAGCUUGAUGAAUAAAUAUUAAGUGAAUUCUGCCCAGUGAAGAUUUAAAUUUAACGGCCGCAGUACCUUGACUGUGCUAAGGUAGCAUAAUAAUUUGGCUUUUAAUUGAAGUCUUGAAUGAAUGGAAAUAUGGGGAUUAAUUGUCUCUUUAUAAAAUUAUUUUAAUUUAUUUAUUAGGUGAAAAUCCCUAUAGUAAUACAUUAGACGAGAAGACCCUUAGAAUUUUAAUAGUAAUUUAAUAACUAUUAAAUUUAGUUUUUGUUGGGGCGACAAAAUAACACUUAUUAAUAUAACUUAUUGAAAUAAUAUUUUACCUACCAAAUUAAUUAUUAAUGAUAAAAUUACCUGAGGGAUAACAGCAUAAUUUAUUUUUAUAAGAUUGUGACCUCGAUGUUGGAUUAGGUUAAAUAAUGGUUAGAAAUUAUUGUUUUAGGUUCUGUCGAACUGCUUAC